This 2516-nucleotide long non-coding RNA is filed under the name Phoenix dactylifera (date palm). Its description in RNAcentral is "long non-coding RNA (PDAC_LNC005488)". Lineage: Eukaryota; Viridiplantae; Streptophyta; Magnoliopsida; Arecales; Arecaceae. The record is from RNAcentral.
AUCCCCUCUAGUGGGGACCCUCUCUCCCUAUUUUCUCUCACGCUGGUCCAGCAGUCUAGCUUCCUUCAACCACCAUCCCCAUCCUCAGAGCUUCAUCGACCCCCUUCUACUACUCAAGGUUUGCUUCCUUAUCCUCUCAUCCCCUUUGCGCAUCCCUCUUCUCCUCCAUGCCUCUCUUCUUAUCCUUCUCUCGCCCUCUGGCUCUCCCUCCUCUCCUCCGGCCAAGCCUCUGUAGUACUUCUCCUUCCUUCCUCUAGGCCUAAAACCUUAAACCAAUUUCUACCUAAAUCUUGACCGCUCCCUUAUCCCUCUUCACCAAUCUCUAUGAUUUGGAGCUCAUCCAUGGCUGUCGAGUCCAUCUCUCGCUUGAUCCACUCAAGAUCGAACCCUAACACUAAUACCCAAUUUCAACCUAAACCCUAUCUUGAUUUCUACCAUUCUACGACCUAUUUGUCUUUGAUUUCUUCCUGUCUUUAUAGUUUUAUGCACCCAUUGGUGGCAACAUGCUUGAUCUGCAAUGGAUCAAGCAUGUACUGGCAUCUGUGGACCUAUAUGCUUAAUCUAUCCCAGAUUAGGCGGUUAGAGAUAUCUAUGUUGGCUGCAUGCUUGAUCCUGAAAUGAUGAUGGUGUUCACUGGUGCUUAUGGAACCUAUGUCCAUCUUGGUAUGUAGUGGUAUCAUUGGGUGCAAUAGUGGUGUGAGUUUAUUUCUUACCCUUUAAAAUGAUGGUGCUAAUGGUUUAGGAUGGGAUCUUCUGCAAUGGAGACGGGUGUUUGUUGUUGCAUUGAUAAUAUGUUGCCAUGAUUGUUGUGUAGAUAAACUUUGUAGCUGUCUACCAGUCAUUACUGAUACAUACAUCAGAAUAUUAUUGCCAUGAUUACUGACUAUAUGCAUUAGCAUUGAUUACAUUAACUUGUGCAGUUACAAAAUUAUGAUUGACUUGUCUAAUGCUUCAUUCUUUCAUUAGUGUAUCUGUUCCUUUAGUGGUACCUAUGGUAGUGGCCACAAUUAUGGUCAUUGUGCUGAUAGUUGUCUUCCUUGUUAUCCUAUUUUAAAUAGAGUCCUUGCAUUAUGAUACCGUUAUCAUUUGUUAUUUUGUCUAUCUGGCAGGUUAAUGUGACUUCCAUGGGUAUUCUACUGAUUAUGGCACACAUGUUAUGCCACUUGACUCUAAUUUUGCCAUGGAUGAUUCCUUGGCAAUUCUGUCCUAUAUACAAAUAACUUACCUUACUUUCUCGUAUUUAUUGCUGCUAUUAAUUUUGAUGUUGAGUUAUAUGUGGAUGGUUGAUUAGCAUAGGUGUUUUUGAGCCAUUUACUGAUCAUUUUGUUGUAGAGCUAUAUGUGACUGGUUGACCAUCGCAAGUAUUGUUGAGCUAUAUAAUUUUGUUGUUGAGCUAUUUCUCUCUUUUGGAACAUGUGAAUUGUAAUAUUGCAAUUUUGUUCUCCCAUGUAUCUUUUUCAAUUUCUCUCUUAGCCAUUUUUUCUUGCAACAACCCAUGCAUCUUCUUAAUUUUCCUAUAGCUCAUUUUCGUUUUCUUUUUAUUUUCAGCUCUAUGAUGAUCGUCCAGUUCCACAUGUGCUUGAGAGCUAUCACUGCAAUGUCCCAUUUUGGGUUUAUAUGAUGCCUCUGUUAUUCACUUCCUCUUUCUUUCUCAUAGUCUACCUUGGUUUUGAUAGCAAAAGGUGACUUGGCUUUCAACUACCAACUUUAUACUUUGUGUUCAGUGUACUGAAAGCAAUACGAUAUCUGAACUGUUUUCCACCUUCCUCUUCUUGUUAGAAAGUAGUAAUUGCAAAGGAAUGAGAUCAUCCACAAUUAUAUAAGUAAAAUAUAUGCCCUAUAGUUUAUCACAAUUAUAUAAGUAAAAUGUAUGCACGAUAGUUUAUCCUUCAAGUUAAGGCUGAGUCAGCAUUAAUAGUCAAGGUGGACCUUAGUUACCUAAAGCAUGCACAGCUGUGAGAGCUGAUCAGGGUGUGAUACAGGUAGAGGAAGUGUAUCUCUCCAAAAAAUUUUGAGAUAUGACACCCUAAAUGGAAGUUUGCUAAUACUAAAAGCUAGACCCACACAAAAACAACCAAUUGCCACCCUUGGUAGUUUUAUUGUAAAAUAGACACCUUAAAUAUUGACUGCAACAAGGCUGAUGAGAAGGUAUUGUAAUGUUGCAACCUUUCGAACACCAUAUAACUGGAAGGGAAAUUAAUUUGUAAGGCAAUCAUAAACCAGUUAAAAGGAUCAGAGUGAUGUAAAAGAUACAUAAGUAUAGGUUGGGAUAAAUAGAUUGGGACAUAUGUGCAGUCGUUUACACAGAAUCAAAAUGAAACAGUGAAAGAGGAUGACAUAGAAAAUCCACAGAAAAACAAGACGACAAACAUGAGUGCACCUUCUGACAUAUCUAUCUCUUUCAUGAGAAAGCAAUUAGAACAAGACCAUUUCUUUAGGCCAAUCCUCUUGUUUUCCUAGGUCCCCCUUACAAAGACCCCAAUAAUUCUUUCAAGCCAAACAACUGAAAAACCAAA